This 505-nucleotide ribosomal RNA is filed under the name uncultured bacterium. RNAcentral describes it as "bacterial SSU rRNA". It matches the Rfam family "Bacterial small subunit ribosomal RNA", at positions 30 to 518 of the family's 1533-position model. The record is from RNAcentral.
UGAACGCUGGCGGCGUGCCUAACACAUGCAAGUCGAACGGGGUUACCACGCUGACGAGACUUCGGUCAAAUCUUGUGGUAACUUAGUGGCGAACGGGUGAGUAACGCGUGGGCAACCUGCCCUGUACUGGGGGAUAGCAGUUGGAAACGACUGAUAAUACCGCAUAAGCGCACGGUAUCGCAUGAUACAGUGUGAAAAACUCCGGUGGUACAGGAUGGGCCCGCGUCUGAUUAGAUAGUUGGUGGGGUAACGGCCUACCAAGUCAACGAUCAGUAGCCGGACUGAGAGGUCGGUCGGCCACGUUGGGACUGAGACACGGCCCAGACUCCUACGGGAGGCAGCAGUGGGGGAUAUUGCACAAUGGGGGAAACCCUGAUGCAGCGACGCCGCGUGAAGUGAAGAAGUAUUUCGGUAUGUAAAGCUCUAUCAGCAGGGAAGAAAGGCUCGCAAGAGAGAUGACGGUACCUGACUAAGAAGCCCCGGCUAAAUACGUGCCAGCAGCGGC